RNAcentral lists this ribosomal RNA (253 nucleotides) under uncultured bacterium. Its description in RNAcentral is "partial 16S ribosomal RNA". It matches the Rfam family "Bacterial small subunit ribosomal RNA", at positions 524 to 776 of the family's 1533-position model. The record is from RNAcentral.
UACGAAGGUGGCGAAUGUUGCUCGGAUUCACUGGGCGUAAAGCGUCGGUAGGUGGUGUUUUAAGUUAGAGGUGAAAGCCCCGCGCUCAACGUGGGAACUGCCUUUAAAACUGGAGCACUAGAGAGUAUCAGGGGAUGGCGGAAUAACUGGUGUAGAGGUAAAAUUCAUAGAUAUCAGUUGGAACACCCAUGGCGAAGGCAGCUAUCUGGGAUAUUUCUGACACUGAGCGACGACAGCGUGGGGAGCAAACAGG